GACGACAACAACGACGACAACAACAACGACAACACCACAGCCCCCCCACCCCCGCCGCGGGCCCGCCCGGGAGCCGCCAUGCCUUUCUCCAGCUCGGAGGCGGACGACGCCUUCGACUACCUCUUCAAGAUCAUCCUGAUCGGGGACUCCAACGUGGGGAAGACCUGCGUGGUGCACCGCUUCAAGACGGGGCAGUACAACGAGAAGCAGCAGAACACCAUCGGCGUCGACUUCACUGUGCGCUCGAUGGACAUCGACGGCAAGAAAGUGAAGAUCCAAGUGUGGGACACGGCUGGUCAAGAACGCUUCCGGACUAUAACCCAGUCUUACUACAGGAGUGCCCACGGGGCCAUCCUUGCCUAUGACCUUACUAGGAGGUCCACAUUUGAAUCCAUUCCUCACUGGAUUCAUGAAAUUGAAAAGUAUGGUGCUGCAAACUUGGUCAUGAUGUUAAUUGGGAACAAGUCGGAUUCAGCGGAUAAGCGCCAAGUCCUGUUUGAAGACGCCUGCACACUGGCAGAGAAGCAUGGGCUCUUAGCUGUACUGGAGACAUCAGCAAAAGAAGCUCAAAACAUAGAAGUGGUGUUCACGUUAAUGGCUAAGGAGCUAAUAGCCCGAAACACCUUACAGCUUCAUGGAGAGAGCCCUCCAAGCAGCAUCUAUCUUGAUUCCAGGCCAGUGAUUGCCAGUCCAAGCGUGGAGAAGACCCAGUGCCUCUGCUGAAGAGAGAUUUCGGGAAGAACUUGAAAGCUGUCAUCUUUCUGAGGCUGUUUGAUUUAAUUUUAUUCAACUGAUGAAAGUGUGCUAUGUGGCCCCAAGCCAUCUCUCUUGAUCUCUCUACCUUGCAGUUUGGCUUUUUUAAGAGCUGUACAUCCAGCUUGAAGAUGAGCUUAUGUUAAAUUAUGACCUACUUGGAAGAAGCAUUUGAAUCUCGGCUGUGGCACGUUACUUGCAUUGAGAUCACAGCCACACCAGAUGAGACGGAAGCAGCACCUAUCCACAGAACAGAGCAACAAAAAAAAAAAAACAAACCUAGAAGUAUUCCAAAAUGGAGCAAACCGACACCUCCCAGAAGCUGACUGGCUUACAAGCAAACACAGCUGCAGCCCAGGGACAUGGCAGGCACAUGGCGUUCCCUAUGUGGUCAAGUUUUUCUUCAUACAUGGGGGACAGGCUCUUAAUAACAAAAGGUGAGGUUCUUAUCUAAUCAUUCCAGUUAAUGUUUAAGUAUAGUUGGAAAGGAGACAGAGAAAGCAAUUUUCAGGCCCUGAACAGAGACAGUGAGCUCUGUCCUGGAAUGUGCUUUCGGGAAGGAGAUGCAUGCCUAUGGGGAACUGAAACUGGAGCUUCCCCCCGCCAGGUGAGUGCUCUAACCCCAGCACUGUUUAAAGGUGCCCCUUCUAGCUGCAGGCUGCCAACAGGCAGAUUUUAAUAUAUCCCAGUUCCCAGAACACUGCUUUUGGCUGCAGGUGGGGGGGCUUUAACACUCGUUCUUUGGUGUGCUGACUCCUGAGGCCAUUCUCAAGCACCUCUCUCAAGCAAGCAUGUCAAGGACUGGAGCUACGACAGGCAAUGCUGGGAUAUCAGAGUCCUUUGAGAGUAGUUUUAGACAGGCCAAGAGCCACUUCUACCUAAGAGUACUUCAGCUUUUAAUAGGAACUUGCAGUUCAAGAGAGGUAGGACUGUGAAGUCUUUUAAAGCACUUUUUCUAGUGUUGUUAUUCUAAAAAUCAACCUUAACUCAGCUGCCCGCACAGGCUCUGCCUACACAAUCACAUCAAGCUGUUGCCAAACAGGUGUUGACUCUGGCUUGACUGCAAGUAACAAACAGCACACCCAUGGACAACGGUAACAGCAGGAGCUCAGCAUAUAGGCAACCCCACGUUUCCUUGCUACAGCUUGUGCCCAUGAAUAUCGCUGCUUAUUAUGGUUUUCACUGCCAAGUCUGUCCAGUUUUGCUUACCUGAAGCGAGGCUCAGCACAACUACAGUUUAACAAUGACGCUUUAAUGGUGGCAUUAGAGUAAAACUGACCUCAUAGCAACUCUAUCCCUACAGCACAGUCAGUCCUGCAUCCUAGGAGACUACAUGUGGAUUCCCUCGUUUGAAGCUGCAGCAGCAUUCAUGAUUCCAUCUAUCCAAGUUUUGUUCCAAACAUGAGACAAACCUCUCACUACCCUCCAAACAGAAAUCUAUUUUGUACCUGCUGUAGCAGGAACAAGUUACUUUGUAUUGCACUGAAUGAACCAGGCAUUCCCUCAGCAAGAUUACAAACACCGUGGGCUACAAUAGGGGAAGAGCUAAAGCAGCAGAGGUUGCAAGAAGUACUCUUAGCUUCUGUGAUCGCAUUCAGACCGAUUAGAAUGGGCAGCACUUACUUUGCACUUACCACAAGAUGCAAAAUUUUGUAUCAAACCAAACAUAUAUAUUCUUGCAGAGGGAGUAAAGUCAAGGCACUUUAAGUGAGAGCAUGCAUCUUUUUCUGAAGAUUUUUGUUUAGAAAUCAAGAUUUUGCUGAUGGAAGCUUAUAGAGUCUUUAUACCUUUUUCAUCUUGACACUACUCUCAUUGGCCUCUUCAGUUUCUGCACCUUAGGUGUUUGCUUAAAGAAAAUAUAGCACAGCUUAAGUCGUCACCCUCCAUAUUUUUUACAUUAAAAGUUUGCCUUAAUUCUACUGAAUUUAUUCCUGUUCCUGUAGAGGAAAAACAUCACAGCCUACUACCAUACUUUACUCAUUUUAAGGUCCCUACCCUUUUUAGUCAUUCCAGUUUGGGGGGGUAAGGUGGGGGGGUGUGGAAAUCAUAGUGCAACAGCAAGCUUAGACACAGGCCUACCGCCAGCAAGACUCAAACUGGAAGCGACAUGCAGCAGUACUGCCUGCUGACAAAUACAUGCAGUUCUUCAGCUUCGCAGAAGAACCACAGCGUGCUUCAAAGCAAGAGAUCAACACAAACUACUUGUCACGAUGCACCUGACUACAUCAGCCACCUUGCAGCUAGACAGAACAGCCUCCCCCCUCAAAGAAAAUCACUUAUUUGCGUAUUCUCAGCUUCCCGCGUAGCGCGUACAGAAGCAGAGCUUAGAAGCAGCAGCACCCACCAUUCCUGCAUGCCAUUUCUGACCCUUUAUGAAGGAAAACUGAUGGCUGUGCUCUGGCUGCUAAGUUUAUUACUUUUUUCCAUCUUGCCAGAACACAUUUUUGUUAGACUUCUCUUUGAAUGCAGCUUUCCAAUAGGAUGCUAACAACUUAAAUAUUCACCAUGGAGGGGAGGGACAGGCCAGUUUUACCCCAAAGCCUUUUAUUUUUUCUGUCUCUCCCUUUAUCAGUUUUAAAUGUCAUUUGCGCAAAUAACCUUCAAAUCCUUUUCUCCCUCUGCUACUUGCCCCUGGGGAAAAAACCCCAAACCAACCAACCAACGAUGGUUUUAGACUGUUCAGUUAAACUUUACUUCUUAGUCCUAUCCCUCAGCAUCUGAAUACGUUCCUAGUAGUUUACUUCCAAUUGUAGGUAUUUCUGCAGAAGAAUGCUUCUUUCUCAACACACAUAGCCUUAAAGCAGCAUGUGGAUUUUCAGGAAGCGGCCUGGCCUGCAGCAAUGCUUGGACUUGCUGUCCAAACAGCAUCACGACAGGAAACUAUCAAAAUAGAACAUGUACUGUAAUUGACUUUGUUCAGGACCAACAAAAUGAAUACCAUAAUGCAGAACUUACUUCUGAGAAAGCAAGCCACGUCUGUUCCCACUAAUGGCCCCAUACAUUCUUUCAACAGUUCAAUUGUCUCAGCUGUCUGUUCAGAAUGCGUUCCUUACGUUACAGGGUCUUUGCUGGAAAGGUUGUAACAGAGUUAAAA
RNA transcript from Egretta garzetta (little egret), 3847 nucleotides. It is a transcript of the gene named RAB19, member RAS oncogene family, with no coding region annotated. Lineage: Eukaryota; Metazoa; Chordata; Aves; Pelecaniformes; Ardeidae. The transcript is spliced from 4 exons. The record is from RefSeq and is a predicted model, not a curated record.